Corvus hawaiiensis (hawaiian crow) is the source of this 1325-nucleotide long non-coding RNA. RefSeq lists it as uncharacterized. NCBI's taxonomy places the organism in Eukaryota, Metazoa, Chordata, Aves, Passeriformes, Corvidae. The record is from RefSeq and is a predicted model, not a curated record. The transcript has 2 exons.
AAUCCCAGCAUCUGAAAGAAAGAAAGAAGCAGCAAAAGUGACUUUUGCAAGCAAACUCUGAAGCUGACAAGCCCAGAAGCUCCAUCCAUCCACUCUGGAAGGAAAGGAUACUCCCAGGGAUGAGGCACAUUCCCAGCAAACUCUCCCAACCCAGCCUGGAGGCAGCGCUGGAGCUCGGCUGUGGGGCUGGGAAGGGCUGCCAGGAGCACGCAGCCCCCAGGUGGGGUGGCAGCGGCAGCAGCAAAUUCCCACAGGCUGAUGGCACAACAGAGAGACAAAGGCCAGCAGUGCCCAUGGGAGGUGCAGGGUUAAUUCUGCUCCCUGCCCUGCCCCAUCCCCGCAGGAAAUCUCCAAGGGGGAGAGAAACUCUCAGGGUGCCCAAAAUGCAGCAUCUGUCACCCUGAUCCCGCUUCAACUCAGCGUGGGGGGCCAAACUCCCCCCACAGGUAAACACUGAGCUGACCUGGUCAGUCUCAAACACAGCCCCAGUUCUCACCUCCAGCCUGCUCCUGGGGCUGCUGCCACAUUCCUGACAAGGAGCCCCUGUGGACAGGGCUCUCUCUGUGUCUCAGGUGCUGGGCACUGCAGGGACCAGGGCAGCCCCCUCUGGGGACAAUUGGGGAUUCAUCCCACACCACAGGCAGGACCAGGGGCCCUCCAGUACAGGCUGGUGGGGCCAGAGCCCAUUGGGUUUGGCUGCUCAAACACCAAAGCUUUUGGCAAAGAUGGGACAAGUUAAGUGGGUUUUCCUGUCCUGAGAGAGAGAAGAAAUUGUUGAAAUUAAGCAUGGAAAUUAAGUCCACUGUGGAAGUCAAAGGCUCCUGGCUUUCCCACUCCUGUUCUGAUUGCUCACUAGAGGGUUUUAUCCAUGAAAAAUGAGAGGUGGCACCAAAUAAAAGAGCUCUUUUUCAACAUUUUUCCCCUACUUACUUUCAUACCUAAAAAGGAUGUCCAUUUUUUCUUAGUGCAUUCUUUGCCUAAUUUUAACAGAACCGUUUUUCCUUCCAGGCCCCACUUGUGGGUUAUUUGCUCCUUUGCCAUGGGACUUUGGACAAAGAAAGAAAAGGAUCUGCUCCACAUGGGUGUCAUCCUAUGGGGAACACCCCCUGUACCAGCCCCAGCCUGGGCCAAGCACGCUGCCUCACUUUCCCCAUUCUGGAUGCUGGCUCCAAUCCAGUCUGAGUUUUCUCCUGGUUUCCAUGUCUAAGGACAGGAACUUGUCCUGGUCAGGAUGUAAGGCCUUAAACUGCACCUUGAUCUGGGGGGCUGUGACUGGGAUUCCAGCAGGGAAUUCAUUGUUUUACAAAUAAAAAUUAUUCCAGGGA